UCUGUGUAAAGAGCUUCGUAGCUCAUUAUAUUACUCAAUUAUAAAUGAAGAUCUUGGUUGUGUGUGUGUUAUUAUACCUGUAUGUUCUGCAAUAACCUCACGCAGUCGUUAAAAUGCUUUCCUGUGUCCCUCUGCCGCCAUUUGCCCGUGGCCCACGCAGCUCAUUGACAGAAAUUGGCAACUGGAAUCUCUGCAGGCAGAGAUUCAGUGGUAUCAACGUGUAGUGGCGGAGCUGCACGCUGAGCUGGCGCCCUACCGCGACAACGAGCAGAAUGAACACUCGGAGCAGCAGCGUCUGCAGAGCGAGGUGGAGCUUGUCACGGUUGAGGAGGAAGAGGACAUCUCUGGCUGCUCACUGGAGCCCGGCAUUCAAGAAGCCUCCCAAGACCUGCCCCCCCAGGCCUCGAACACCCUCUGAGCAUCUCACAGCCCCCCACACUUCCAGCACCACCCAACCCCACCAGCACCCCCCCCUUCCUUACAAGGCGUCGCGUUUUAAUAAUAAAUAUUUGUAUCUAAUACUAUCGCCUCGUCUCAAUUCUUUUGAGUGUUUGGGACACGCGAGUGGCUCACAUUUAUAACGCUAAGGGCUGUCUACAUCCACAGUGUGGCUGUUGCGGAGCUUCUAGAAACCAAAUGUGAGGCAGAGUUCUGUGUCCCUUGGGUUAUGCCAGCCCUCCAAGGGGUUUGCACUGAGCUUGAGUUGGGGGCGACAAGCACAAGGUUGUGGAGGUGGUGAUGGUGGUGGAAAUUUAGGAGGAUGGCAAGGAGAUGCCCAUCAAUAAACUAGUUGGCCACGGUGAAGCCAGCAACCAUAGUCGUUCCUACGUCCCCUGAUGUGAGCGGCAGUGCUGGAGGGCAGUUCCACGGUCUCAGACGGACGUGGAUACUCAUUACCAUAAUCGCACAGUUAUCUUACCUUGGGCAAAGUAUUUCAACCAAGAGAUUCAGAUAGAAAUCAUCUGUGUGAAUAAUGUCAUUUCUAAAGCAAUAAUUACCUUCUAUAUUAUAUCCCAUAUAAAUAUAUAAAAUUAAGAUGAUGCUGAAAUUGUGAUGUUUGCCUAAUAUGUGGAACUGCCCUACAUGUAGUGCCAAACACUGACUCUCUGAAAAAUAUUUCUGCAGCAAAUCUGUAGCCCUAUUCCUAACUCCAAGCCUGAAUAGACUAUGGAAUAUAUGAAAACUCAAUGUCCAAUUCACAAAUUCGGAGGCAUCAUCACAGCGAUGCACCAACUCUACUUCUUACACAAUGAUCUGGCUCAACCACCUCAAUCUCAUAUAUAGUAGUUGCUCUACAUAAACGUCGACCAUACGAAGAACAUGACUCCAACCCCUGUUCGUCCCCUUGUGCUAAUUCAUUGCUUAAGACAAUGCGUUUCCAUGUAGUUCUCCCCUCUUCGGGUUUUGAGAGAUCCUUCUUCCCAUGAUGUGUCCCCAGGUUGUGUACGUCACAGAUGGCAACUCUUAUCCUCGUACAUGGACGGUCACGUUGCGUCCCUUGUCUCCUCCCAUCACCCAUCACUUGCCAUCCCCCCCCCCACCCCAAUGUAAUCACUCAAAACCAACUGUGAUUGACUGCAGCAGUGUUUUUAACAGACACCAGUCGUGUUACGGCGAUUGGUGUUGUUAUCGUUUAUUGUAAUAAACGCAUUGCCUCCAGGAGAAGUAUCGCUCUACGUUCAUACCCACAACACAGGCGCAAAAUACAUUACAGAAGUUAUGUUAAGCAGCGGCAAAGUUUGAGUGAUAGCUCAUCUGACACUGACUCCUCUCACAACGACCAACUUUCCGAAUACUCAUUCAGUAGUAAGACUCUUAAAUUGACGGAGAAAGCUCUCGUCAGAAUCCCCUAUUUUGAUCCACACAAUAGGAACAGAGACAUACACUCAUAUCACAACAGUCGAAGUGGAGGCAAUGAUCAGAGGUCUGAGGAAGUUGGACGAGAAAACAAGUGCUGAAAAGAAGGUUACAUGAAUAUUCUAUACCAUGGGUAAAGUCGCUACCAUACAAGGUUAGGAAUUAUUUCAAACAACUCAGCCUAACAGUGAUUACGAAGUUUGGAGAAUAUUCAACACUGAGGGGUUUAAUGCUGCCAAAUGUAUGACCCAGUGCGUAAACGAGGAGUGUAUUACGCAGGUGAUGUUGAUCAAUACCACGAAGGUGACAAAAUGUUCAAGAUUGUUUUUUUAAUCCUUGAGUCCAGAGAUUACAGAAAUUGUGGGUAUGGUUUUGGACCCAGAGACGGCCUCCUUACACCACAUACAGAAUAGGGUUCACACGGCAUGGCUAUAUAGAAUUAGGAGCCAUAAUUCGGACAAAACACAGG
This is a non-coding RNA of Petromyzon marinus (sea lamprey), 2326 nucleotides long. The record is from RefSeq and is a predicted model, not a curated record. Lineage: Eukaryota; Metazoa; Chordata; Hyperoartia; Petromyzontiformes; Petromyzontidae.